Molecule: ribosomal RNA, 512 nt
Filed under: uncultured bacterium
Lineage: Bacteria
Description: bacterial SSU rRNA
Rfam family: Bacterial small subunit ribosomal RNA
Source: RNAcentral
UUAUGGCUCAGAACGAACGCUGGCGGCGCGUCUUAAGCAUGCAAGUCGAACGGCAAGAGGUAGCAAUACCUCCUAGAGUGGCGGACUGGUGAGUAACACGUGGGUGACAUACCCUUCAGAUGGGGAUAGCUAUUAGAAAUAGUAGAUAAUACCGAAUACGAGCACAGGGGUUAGAGAUCUGUGAGGAAAGGAGCUAAGGCUCCGCUGAAGGAAUGGCCUGCGGCCCAUUAGCUAGUUGGUGAGGUAAGAGCCCACCAAGGCGAUGAUGGGUAUCCGGCCUUAGAGGGUGAACGGACACAUUGGGACUGAGAUACGGCCCAGACUCCUACGGGAGGCAGCAGCUAAGAAUAUUCCGCAAUGGACGAAAGUCUGACGGAGCGACGCCGCGUGGAUGAAGAAGGCCGGAAGGUUGUAAAAUCCUUUUGAAACUGAAGAAUAAGCGUUGUAGGGAAUGACAGCGUGGUGACAGUAGGUUUUGAAUAAGCAACGGCUAAUUACGUGCCAGCCGCUGC